UGAACGCUGGCGGCAUGCUUUACACAUGCAAGUCGAACGGCACGCGCGGGGCAACCUGGCGGCGAGUGGCGAACGGGUGAGUAAUAUAUCGGAACGUACCCAAGAGUGGGGGAUAACGUAGCGAAAGUUACGCUAAUACCGCAUACGAUCUAAGGAUGAAAGCAGGGGAUCUUCGGACCUUGUGCUCCUGGAGCGGCCGAUAUCUGAUUAGCUAGUUGGUGAGGUAAAGGCUCACCAAGGCCACGAUCAGUAGCUGGUCUGAGAGGACGACCAGCCACACUGGAACUGAGACACGGUCCAGACUCCUACGGGAGGCAGCAGUGGGGAAUUUUGGACAAUGGGCGAAAGCCUGAUCCAGCAAUGCCGCGUGAGUGAAGAAGGCCUUCGGGUUGUAAAGCUCUUUUGUCAGGGAAGAAACGGUGAGGGCUAAUAUCCCUCGCUAAUGACGGUACCUGAAGAAUAAGCACCGGCUAACUACGUGCCAGCAGCCGCGGUAAUACGUAGGGUGCAAGCGUUAAUCGGAAUUACUGGGCGUAAAGCGUGCGCAGGCGGUUUUGUAAGUCUGACGUGAAAUCCCCGGGCUCAACCUGGGAAUUGCGUUGGAGACUGCAAGGCUAUAAUCUGCA
Molecule: ribosomal RNA, 626 nt
Filed under: beta proteobacterium PCSC1
Lineage: Bacteria; Pseudomonadati; Pseudomonadota; Betaproteobacteria
Description: bacterial SSU rRNA
Rfam family: Bacterial small subunit ribosomal RNA
Source: RNAcentral